UAAGACGUAGGGGCCGAGCGUUGUCCGGAGUUACUGGGCGUAAAGGGCGCGCAGGCGGCCGGUCGCAUCGGCGGUGAAAGCCCCCCGCUCAACGGGGGAGGGUCCGUCGAGAUGGAUCGGCUGGAGGCAGGGAGAGGGCGGUGGAAUUCCGGGUGUAGUGGUGAAAUGCGUAGAGAUCCGGAGGAACACCAGUGGCGAAGGCGGCCGCCUGGACCUGACCUGACGCUGAGGCGCGAAGGCGUGGGGAGCGAACGGGAUUAGAUACCCCGGUAGUCCACGCAGUAAACGAUGGGCACGAGGUGUGGCGGGAGUUGACCCCUGCCGUGCCGGCGCUAACGCAGUAAGUGCCCCGCCUGGGGAGUACGGCCGCAAGGCUAAAACUCAAAUGAAUUGACGG
RNAcentral lists this ribosomal RNA (397 nucleotides) under uncultured bacterium. RNAcentral describes it as "bacterial SSU rRNA". It matches the Rfam family "Bacterial small subunit ribosomal RNA", at positions 521 to 916 of the family's 1533-position model. The record is from RNAcentral.